UACAGAGGGUGCGAGCGUUUAUCGGAAUUACUGGGCGUAAAGGGUGCGUAGGUGGUUCGAUAAGUCAGAUGUGACAUCCCUGGGCUUAACCUGGGAAUUGCAUUUGAUACUGUCAAACUAGAGUGUGGUAGAGGUAAGCGGAAUUCCCGGUGUAGCGGUGAAAUGCGUAGAUAUCGGGAGGAACAUCAGUGGCGAAGGCGGCUUACUGGACCAACACUGACACUGAGGCACGAAAGCGUGGGUAGCAAACAGG
Molecule: ribosomal RNA, 253 nt
Filed under: uncultured bacterium
Lineage: Bacteria
Description: partial 16S ribosomal RNA
Rfam family: Bacterial small subunit ribosomal RNA
Source: RNAcentral